This 520-nucleotide ribosomal RNA is filed under the name Aclyvolva lanceolata. RNAcentral's name for it is "partial 16S ribosomal RNA". It matches the Rfam family "Bacterial large subunit ribosomal RNA", at positions 1809 to 2604 of the family's 2925-position model. The record is from RNAcentral. Lineage: Eukaryota; Metazoa; Mollusca; Gastropoda; Littorinimorpha; Ovulidae. RNAcentral also lists the same sequence under 1 other name.
AAAAACAUGUCUCUUUGAGAAAAACAAAUAAAGAGUCAGGCCUGCCCAGUGAAUAAUUUUUAACGGCCGCAGUAUUUUAACUGUGCGAAGGUAGCAUAAUAAUUUGCCCUAUAAUUGAGGGCUAGAAUGAAAGGUUAGACGAGAGCAAAACUGUCUCUAUAUCGACUUUUUAGAAUUUGAUUUUUAAGUGAAGAAACUUAAAUACUAUUAAAAGACAAGAAGACCCUAUUGAGCUUUAAAAAAAUAAAUAGAUCUGAUCUAAAAUGGAAGACUCAACUAUUUAAGAUUUUGGUUGGGGCGACCAAGGAACAAACAGAACUUCCUUAUACAAUAAAUAUUGACAAAUAUGAUCCAAUAUAUUUUGAUUAGAGAAAUUAGCUACCAUAGGGAUAACAGCAUAAUCCUCUUUGAGAGCACUUAUCGAAAAGGGGGUUUGUGACCUCGAUGUUGGACUAGAAUAUCCUAAAGACGCAGCAGUCUUUAAAGGUUGGUCUGUUCGACCAUUAAAAUUCUACGUGAU